CAAACUGAUCGGAACAUUGAGAUCUACGAACAAUCGGACCAACCAAGAGAAGAACCAAGAGAAAUAUAGAAACCACUGACGGACUUUCGUGAAUCCGGGCAGGUUCCCCAAUCGGAAUCACAAAAGGCAAGGAGCUGGAAGGACGACGAACUGGACAUAAAGAUCCCAAGACCUGGAUCAUGGAGCAAAUAGCGAAGUACUCGUAAAGCCGCAGUAAAAUGAGGAAGACGAGGGUCCUGCAUAUACUGACUAAGGUGUUGUACAGUGAAUGAGAGAUCCGGCCUCGUGUGAGUCAGGUCAGACCACAAGACUUUUGCACUUUUGGAGUACAAAACAGAUUCAGCAAUCUCUUUUGAAAGAGAAUUCAGUAGCCAAGAUAGCACCAUAUCAUUGCAUCUUGACCAAGCUUUCUGAAAGUUUAUAUCAGUGGGAACAUCUAGGGAUCCAUCAAUGAAUCCUAGUUUGUUCUUGGCUGAUAGAGCAAUGAUAACCCCUCUUCUCCAGCCACCAUAGCUUCUACCAUCAAAGAUGGUGGAAACCAAGUUCAUCCCAGGAGAGUCUGAGGGAUGGAUGUAGAAAGCAUGUGAGGGAUCUACUGCAUUAGUUGCAGAAAUCCCUUCACUCUUUUCAGUAACACUACCAGAAGAUAUUUGAGCAUCCCCCAUGAGGAAAAAGAAAAACAAGCAAGGAAGCAGAAGCUGUAACGAGAAGGGAAGAAGAAAGACUGAAGAGCUAUUAACCUUGCUCUGAUACCAUGCAAAAAUAAAAGAUUUUAUUGGAAAAUUCUCUUUGAAUUGAUUGAUUUUCUCUGUACAAUUUACCUAUAUUUAUACAAGUA
Solanum tuberosum (potato) is the source of this 838-nucleotide long non-coding RNA. RefSeq lists it as uncharacterized. The transcript has 3 exons. The record is from RefSeq and is a predicted model, not a curated record. NCBI's taxonomy places the organism in Eukaryota, Viridiplantae, Streptophyta, Magnoliopsida, Solanales, Solanaceae.